GACGAACGCUGGCGGCGUGCUUAACACAUGCAAGUCGAACGGAAAGGCCCUGCUUUUGUGGGGUGCUCGAGUGGCGAACGGGUGAGUAACACGUGAGUAACCUGCCCUUGAUUAUGGGCUAACUUCAGGAAAAUGGGGCUAAUACCGGAUCGGUGCUCCUGCUUCAUGGUGGGGGUCGGCAUGUUUCGGCGGUUGGUGAUGGAUCGCCGGCUUAUUAGCUCGUUGGUGGGGAAGUGGCUUACCAAGGCAUUGCCGGGUAGCCGGCCUGAGAGGGUGACCGGCCAGAUAGGGACUGACAUACAGCCCAGACAGCUACGGGAGGCAGCAGGGAGGAAGGAUGCACGAUGAGCGGGAGCCUGAUUGAGGAAGGCAGGGUGCGGGAAGACGGCCGUCUGUUUGUAUGCCGCUUUCUCCUGUGACGAAGCGUUAGUGACGGUAAUGGGUAAGGAAGCACCGGCUAACUACGUG
RNAcentral lists this ribosomal RNA (468 nucleotides) under uncultured bacterium. RNAcentral describes it as "partial 16S ribosomal RNA". It matches the Rfam family "Bacterial small subunit ribosomal RNA", at positions 28 to 507 of the family's 1533-position model. The record is from RNAcentral.